Molecule: ribosomal RNA, 632 nt
Filed under: uncultured Campylobacter sp.
Lineage: Bacteria; Pseudomonadati; Campylobacterota; Epsilonproteobacteria; Campylobacterales; Campylobacteraceae
Description: bacterial SSU rRNA
Rfam family: Bacterial small subunit ribosomal RNA
Source: RNAcentral
AUUGAACGCUGGCGGCAGGCCUAACACAUGCAAGUCGAACGGUAACAGGAAGCAGCUUGCUGCUUCGCUGACGAGUGGCGGACGGGUGAGUAAUGUCUGGGAAACUGCCUGAUGGAGGGGGAUAACUACUGGAAACGGUAGCUAAUACCGCAUAACGUCGCAAGACCAAAGAGGGGGACCUUAGGGCCUCUUGCCAUCGGAUGUGCCCAGAUGGGAUUAGCUAGUAGGUGGGGUAACGGCUCACCUAGGCGACGAUCCCUAGCUGGUCUGAGAGGAUGACCAGCCACACUGGAACUGAGACACGGCCCAGACUCCUACGGGAGGCAGCAGUGGGGAAUAUUGCACAAUGGGCGCAAGCCUGAUGCAGCCAUGCCGCGUGUAUGAAGAAGGCCUUCGGGUUGUAAAGUACUUUCAGCGGGGAGGAAGGGAGUAAAGUUAAUACCUUUGCUCAUUGACGUUACCCGCAGAAGAAGCACCGGCUAACUCCGUGCCAGCAGCCGCGGUUAUCGGAGGGUGCAAGCGUUACUCGGAAUUACUGGGCGUAAAGCGCACGCAGGCGGUUUGUUAAGUCAGAUGUGAAAUCCCCGGGCUCACCUGGGAAUCUGCAUUUGAUUCUGGUAGCUUGAGUCUCU